Manduca sexta (tobacco hornworm) is the source of this 161-nucleotide long non-coding RNA. RefSeq lists it as uncharacterized. The record is from RefSeq and is a predicted model, not a curated record. NCBI's taxonomy places the organism in Eukaryota, Metazoa, Arthropoda, Insecta, Lepidoptera, Sphingidae. The transcript is spliced from 2 exons.
GUCUGACUCGAGCACAACACGAAAUUCAAGCAUGGCAUGAGUUAAGGAAUAAAAGCAUCAAAAGCAUUUGAUGUUUCACGAUGCAAAAUAACUGUUGGAUCCUUGGUUGCCUUAAUAAUGGGAGCUAAAGUACCAGAUACUCCAACCAUGAAAGAGGAAAA